GCGCUAGAUGGCGCAGCCUGAUCAGCCAUGCCGCGUGAGUGAUGAAGGCCCUAGGGUUGUAAAGCUCUUUCAGCGAGGAGGAUAAUGACGUUACUCGCAGAAGAAGCCCCGGCUAACUUCGUGCCAGCAGCCGCGGUAAUACGAAGGGGGCUAGCGUUGUUCGGAAUCACUGGGCGUAAAGCGCACGUAGGCGGACUGAUCAGUCAGGGGUGAAAUCCCGGGGCUCAACCCCGGAACUGCCUUUGAUACUGUCAGUCUUGAGUCCGAGAGAGGUGAGUGGAACUCCGAGUGUAGAGGUGAAAUUCGUAGAUAUUCGGAAGAACACCAGUGGCGAAGGCGGCUCACUGGCUCGGUACUGACGCUGAGGUGCGAAAGCGUGGGGAGCAAACAGGAUUAGAUACCCCCGGUAGUCA
This 413-nucleotide ribosomal RNA is filed under the name Roseibium denhamense. RNAcentral describes it as "bacterial SSU rRNA". It matches the Rfam family "Bacterial small subunit ribosomal RNA", at positions 366 to 796 of the family's 1533-position model. The record is from RNAcentral. Lineage: Bacteria; Pseudomonadati; Pseudomonadota; Alphaproteobacteria; Hyphomicrobiales; Stappiaceae.